Molecule: ribosomal RNA, 758 nt
Filed under: uncultured bacterium
Lineage: Bacteria
Description: bacterial SSU rRNA
Rfam family: Bacterial small subunit ribosomal RNA
Source: RNAcentral
GAUGAACGCUAGCUACAGGCUUAACACAUGCAAGUCGAGGGGCAUCAGGAAGAAAGCUUGCUUUCUUUGCUGGCGACCGGCGCACGGGUGAGUAACACGUAUCCAACCUGCCCUUUACUCGGGGAUAGCCUUUCGAAAGAAAGAUUAAUACCCGAUGGCAUAAUGAUUCCGCAUGGUUUCAUUAUUAAAGGAUUCCGGUAAAGGAUGGGGAUGCGUUCCAUUAGGUUGUUGGUGAGGUAACGGCUCACCAAGCCUUCGAUGGAUAGGGGUUCUGAGAGGAAGGUCCCCCACAUUGGAACUGAGACACGGUCCAAACUCCUACGGGAGGCAGCAGUGAGGAAUAUUGGUCAAUGGGCGCUAGCCUGAACCAGCCAAGUAGCGUGAAGGAUGAAGGCUCUAUGGGUCGUAAACUUCUUUUAUAUAAGAAUAAAGUGCAGUAUGUAUACUGUUUUGUAUGUAUUAUAUGAAUAAGGAUCGGCUAACUCCGUGCCAGCAGCCGCGGUAAUACGGAGGAUCCGAGCGUUAUCCGGAUUUAUUGGGUUUAAAGGGAGCGUAGGUGGACUGGUAAGUCAGUUGUGAAAGUUUGCGGCUCAACCGUAAAAUUGCAGUUGAUACUGUCAGUCUUGAGUACAGUAGAGGUGGGCGGAAUUCGUGGUGUAGCGGUGAAAUGCUUAGAUAUCACGAAGAACUUCGAUUGCGAAGGCAGCUCACUGGACUGCAACUGACACUGAUGCUCGAAAGUGUGGGUAUCAAACAGG